AUUGAACGCUGGCGGCAUGCCUUACACAUGCAAGUCGAACGGCAGCACGGGAGCAAUCCUGGUGGCGAGUGGCGAACGGGUGAGUAAUGUAUCGGAACGUGCCCAGUCGUGGGGGAUAACGCAGCGAAAGCUGUGCUAAUACCGCAUACGAUCUAUGGAUGAAAGCGGGGGAUCGCAAGACCUCGCGCGACUGGAGCGGCCGAUAUCAGAUUAGCUAGUUGGUGGGGUAAAGGCUCACCAAGGCGACGAUCUGUAGCUGGUCUGAGAGGACGACCAGCCACGCUGGAACUGAGACACGGUCCAGACUCCUACGGGAGGCAGCAGUGGGGAAUUUUGGACAAUGGGCGCAAGCCUGAUCCAGCAAUGCCGCGUGCAGGAUGAAGGCCUUCGGGUUGUAAACUGCUUUUGUACGGAGCGAAAAGGCUCUCUCUAAUACAGGGGGCUCAUGACGGUACCGUAAGAAUAAGCACCGGCUAACUACGUGCCAGCCGCCGCGGUAA
This 500-nucleotide ribosomal RNA is filed under the name uncultured bacterium. RNAcentral describes it as "partial 16S ribosomal RNA". It matches the Rfam family "Bacterial small subunit ribosomal RNA", at positions 30 to 523 of the family's 1533-position model. The record is from RNAcentral.